GAACUUGCCCUUUAGACUGGGAUAACAGAGGGAAACUUCUGAUAAUACUGGAUAAGUUAGCAUAUCGCAUGAUAUGCAAAUGAAAGCUACGGCACUAAAGGAGAGCUUUGCGUCCUAUUAGCUAGUUGGUAAGGUAAGAGCUUACCAAGGCGAUGAUAGGUAGCCGGCCUGAGAGGGUGGACGGCCACAAGGGGACUGAGAUACGGCCCUUACUCCUACGGGAGGCAGCAGCC
This 233-nucleotide ribosomal RNA is filed under the name uncultured Leptotrichia sp. RNAcentral's name for it is "partial 16S ribosomal RNA". It matches the Rfam family "Bacterial small subunit ribosomal RNA", at positions 122 to 355 of the family's 1533-position model. Lineage: Bacteria; Fusobacteriati; Fusobacteriota; Fusobacteriia; Fusobacteriales; Leptotrichiaceae. The record is from RNAcentral.